GGGGUGGGGUGGGGAGCAGAGAGAGGGUGUCACGGGGCCACAGGAGCCCUUCACGUCACAGACCUCUGAUCUUCACAUACUAGGUAAAUAGUAUAUACACAUAAACACAUUUUAAUAUAAUACAUGCAUAAAAAAAGAGAAAAUAGCAUGACCCAAUUUACAUACCACCAGAUUUUAAAUCUUUAUAUUUUGCUAAAGUUAUUUUAGGCUCACAGCCCACUGCUUUGAAUCUGUGGGUAUUCUUAUAAAGCGGAUCAUGGUGUGAUAUCCAUAUAUUUUCAAUUUACCUAAAGGUACUGUGUUAUGCAUCCCAUCCUUCCUUCACUCCUCAGUGCUGUUUGUAAGAUCCAUCCGUGUGGCCACCUGUAUACAACCAACCUUUGCUUCUAACUGCCACCUGCACUCUGGGGUGGGAUCGAACACUUCUACUGACCCCUUCUUCCAGGAAGGAACAUUGAUGCUGCCUCUAACCACCAUGGGUAUGAAUGAUGGCAUCUACCUAUGUCCCCUGAGAGGCCUGUGUGAGGGUUUCUUUGGGGCGUACCCCCAGAGCAGCAUUGACGGCCCCAGUGCCGACUUACCCUGACUGGUUGCAUUGGGCCAUCUUCCACUGUGCGGUCAGGAGACCCCACCUCACCACGCUGGGCCUCAGCCAGCCUCCAAAUGACACUGGUCUCAGUUCCUUCUCAGCCAACCACUUGAAGUGCCUAUGGUCCAGGACAUCAGAAGCCAAAAAGAAAAAAUUGCAAAAGAGCUUCUCUCCUAGGGGCGCCUGGGUGGCUCAGUCAGUUAAGCGUCUGACUUUGGCUCAGGUCAUAAGGUCACAGCCAGUGAGUUCCGGUCCUGCAUCGGGCUCUAUGCUGACAACUCCGAGCCUGGAGCCUGCUUCAGACUCUGUGUCUCCCUCUCUCUCUGCUCCUCCCCCACUCACGCUCUCUCUCUGUCUCUCAAAGAUGAAUAAAUGUGAAAAAAAAAAUUAAAAAAAAAAAAAAAGAGCUUCUCUCCUGGUAACAUGAUCUCUUUUCCCAGAUUUGGAAGACAGAAGCAAAGGAGAGUCACAAAAGCCAGUUUUGUCACCCUGAGUCCUGCUAACUAGCUGACAGCCUCUGGCACACACUGAUCUGGGGAUGCAGAGGAGGCCACAAGAGUGCCCAGGAGCCUGAAGAUGGAACAGAGAAAAUGGAGAAACCAGAGUAUGCAGGGUAGAGCUUGAUCAGUAGUUAAGGUUGGUUUGAUUUUCACUUUUACAGUUAUCUGUUUUCAAAUGCUCUGAAAAUAUGUUCUAGGAACAUUUAUAGCCAUUGUGGCUUCUUGACACUGUGGUGUUCAGAAUAAUCCCAAGUGCCUCUGCCAGCUGAGAGACACACACACAACUAUGGGACAAAACAGAGUAGUAAUUUGAGCAAAAAGCCCAAACCAGGAGCUCUGAAAUGGCAACCUACCAUUUGUUUAGAAUUUAUAAGCUGCAAGCUAAGUUAGUCUUGAGUCCCACCUUAACUUCAUACCUCUCACCACCUGUGCAUAAUCUUGUUCUACAGAUCCUGUUUUCUCAACUAUCAAUCUACCCCUCAUAAAAUCGGCAUCAUCAGUUAACACAAAACCCAGGGUGUGGCUUUCAGACCCAAAGUCCCUACUCUGAUCUGUGAGUAUCCACAUGAUUCGGCUCCUGCCUACUUCUAAUGACUUCAUCCCUUACCACAUCCCUGUGACUUGCUACACUUGACCCAUACGAACAGGUGCACUUCAAUCUUAGGAAGCUCACACUAGAGGUCCCUUGGUUUGGAACAUUCCUGCCCUACUCCUUCCUGCCCCUGCUAUUUUCUCAUAGCUGCUUCUUCCCUACCAUUGAGAUUUCAACUUAAAUGUCAUCUAUGCAUUGAGGACUCUGAGCAGAAAGUAAAGUAGGCUCUCAGUCACUUUAUUAUGUCAUCUUGUUUUACUUUCCUCACAGUAGUUAUUAUUGUGUUCAUUGAACUGUUGCCUGCCUCCUCAAUUAGAAUGCAACCUCCAUGAGGGUAUGGAUCCUGACUGUCUUGUCAAUUUGGUAUUCCCAAUGCCUACAGUGAUGCUGGUACAUAAAAAGAUGAUUUAAACAAGUUUGAGCUGAGGUUUCCUGGCCAUGACCUUGUCAUUGCCAUGAGUUAAAGAGGACAGUAGGGUACAUGUACCAGCCAGUUCCACUGGAGACAGAGUUCAACAUAAUGACCUAUACUGGAAAAACCAGCCCUCAUGCAACUCACUGGAUCCCCUGCUGCUAGGGGCACUUUAUAGAUCAGAAUCUGGUACCUGCAUGUGAGAAAGUACUGCAUUUUUUAGCAGGUACAAUCUAGAACCACUAUAUACUUGAAGGUCUUCCCCCUGAUCUCCAGGCAAACUCCAAAAUAUUUCUCUAAUUUGAAAAAGAGGCUAUGAAGGACAGCUGGAGUUGUGAGAUUAAAGUGCUUAUUAAAUGCAUUUUAAAAAACUCCCAUGGGAAAAACUACUGAUAGAUACUUUUUCAUUACCUAUGACCCUCUUCCUUGCUAGAAGUGCAUAUAAGACAUGCUGUCUACUAGGCAAUACCCUAAAGACAUACACUUGCUGAGCCAAGGUAGGAAAUUAUGCAUUAAACUACUGAUAUGAUUAGGUAGUAACUUGACCAAAUAUUUCUACUAUCUCUGUUGACUACAGAAUAAUACUCAAAAGUGUUAGUUUUAGGAAAUACAAUUCCUUAGUUAAUUGGGAAUAUGAAUUCUUGGCAAUCUGGAAUUGCAAGAAAUGAAUUUGUCUCUUGGUUAUUGUCCUUGUCUCACUGGGAACACUCCUAAAAUGGGCAAUUUCUACAUUGUGGAUGUUCUACAAGUCUGAACUCAGAAACCGAUCUUUAUUUAGGAAAACAAAAACAGUGUUUUGAGAGGAAGAGGUCUGGUGGGAUAUCGCCACAAGAGAGGCGGGUUAGCUCAGUAGACUGUUUCAGAGUUAGAAAAGGACAAAAUUCAGAUGAAAAGGAUGAAAUGUUUAGUCCAGUCUCUUUAAAAAACACAGCACAGCAUAGCUUUAUUAGUAUGAUGUAUAAUCUCAAAUUGUCUAGAGAAACUAAUUCUAGCAAAGCUGCUUCUUAGUUUUUUCCCACCAUGAAAAGCAUUGUUGUUUAUUUUGAAGCAUUUGAAAAAUACAUAAGCUACUGAUAUCCAGAAAGCACCAUAAAAUAACAUUGUUUAAAGAGCUUAAAACAAAAUACAAGAGAGCACACAAAGACCAUAUUUGUGAAAUGCUACAUCCAACCCCCCACAGGUUUCACACAGGAUAAGUCUUGGCAUAACACCGGCAGCUGUGAAAAUAUAAAAAUUAUAUAAAAUGGGCAUUCUCGUCUGGAAAAAUAUUUAACUGAUCAUAUAGGGAAUGUUUUUAGUCUCCUGACUGGAAAAUAUUUGGAUCUGAUAGAGAGAUACUCCUUACUAGACUGUAGUCAAAGCUUCACUCAAAGAGAAAUUCCUAGUCAACGUCACCACCCUUCUGCUGUUGGGGCUGCCUGCCAAAGGUGCAGAUGUCUGUCAUCUGAAAAGAAGAAGUUUAUUUAGAAAAGCGUUCUUAUCCUCUCUCUUUAGAAGACACUGAUUCACAUUAUCAAAAAUAGCUUGGUACACUGUGCACAUCUGUGCACAUGUGGUGUUAUUUACUUUGGUAAAAUAAACUACAAGAGUAGGAAACAGAACAAGUCUUCCAACCCUUGCCAAUUAAAAAAAAAGUACACUUUCUGUUUUGUACUUUUUAAUGUGGGGUUUUGAUUUUAAGGUAGGAGAUUUGAUAUCCUGCCUAUAAUCUAGGGAAAGCUCUGUAGUAUCUCUGUGAACUGAAAUCUAUCAGCAAUAGACCACAGAGGAAAAAUUUAGUAUCACUAGCCACUAAAAGUAACCACAUCUUAGAUUGUUGAAAUUUUCUUUUCUUUUCUUUUCUUUUCUUUCUUUCUUUCUUCUUUUUUUUGGAGGGGGCGCUGGGCGAUUGGUAAAGUUGGGAAGGGGAGGAGACCUUAAUCCCCAAGAGAGAGCAAAAAGUGCCUGAGACUUUUUCAGCUUCUAAAGUACAGGUCAAAAUCUUUCCAGGGUGAAACCUGACUUUCCACAAGUAAAAGAAUUAUACUACAAAUAAAACUCAAUGAAAUAAGCAAAAACACAAAAUGAUAAGCCAACAAAAAACACAGAUUUCCACAAGAAAUCAUUCCCAUGCAACAGCCAUAGAGCUCAAGCCUAGAAAGUCACUUACUUUUCUCCGAGUGUCACCCGGAGGCUGCUCUGGAGUAGAGAAAUUGAUUGUUGGCAUUUUGUUUUUUAGCAGAAGACACAUCCACAUUCAGAACAGCAAUUAUUACACUUAGAACUACAUUUAUUAAUAGAAACCACCUAAGAGUCAUUAUAGUAAAAAGUGUCCGCAGUGCUAUAUAUAAACACAUACAUGUACGUACACACACACACACACACACACACACAGAGUAAAAACACUACACAUAGAUGGGGUUUUCAACAUGAAUCUAUGGCUCUUGAAAACAUGGCAAGGCUACUAUUCUAUGGGUAUUCUUCUGAGUAUAACUCAACUGCUAUAAUCCCAGUCUUACAUUUACUUUCCAUCAGCACAAUGUUAGUUUCAAUAGGCUGGUUUCAGAGUCUUAUACUGUGAACAAAAAAUUCAUUAUAAAGUUAUAGAGAUGGCCGGCUAUUUCCCAGAGAGUGCAGAGGCUAGAAAACAGGCUUUAAAAAAAAAAAAAGGCAAAAAAGGUUUUAGCAGCAACAUGUACAUGUGAGACCAUAACCCAAUUAGAUUCACCAGACACAUACAUUCUAUUCUGAAUACAAAUAAAGCAAGGGCUUUCUGGGCCUCUGCUACCCUUGGUGAAAAUAAAGCAAAGGGCAACUGAAAUAACAUUCUGCUCUUAAAUCAGACAAAUUCUGUAUCUGUCCUUUUUAUUUUCUCCAUUCUAUAAAAGUGAAAAAAAUCAUCAAAGUAGAUUUUUAACUGGAAAGUACUGGAAUGAUCACACAUCUCCAAAUAUCUUAAAUUAAAAAUCAGAGCAUCCAACUGUAUUGUUGAAGGAGAUUGGCUGCACAGUAAAUUAGCCUCAAUUUGUCAAAAUAAGAUUUUUUUUUUUUUUUGCCUUGGACAUCAGUUUUCUGGUACACAAAGGCAGGUGAAGUUGCUUAAGACAGUCUGUUAAAGGUACAAAACCAAGUGAAUAGAUUAAAGGAAAUCAAGCCCAGUCUCACAGAGUAGAAGGCAAAUUCCAGGUUGUAUAAAAUUUGAUAAUAUA
Long non-coding RNA from Neofelis nebulosa (Clouded leopard), 5281 nucleotides. RefSeq lists it as uncharacterized. Lineage: Eukaryota; Metazoa; Chordata; Mammalia; Carnivora; Felidae. The record is from RefSeq and is a predicted model, not a curated record. The transcript has 4 exons.